This is a long non-coding RNA of Herpailurus yagouaroundi (jaguarundi), 4518 nucleotides long. RefSeq lists it as uncharacterized. The transcript has 5 exons. Lineage: Eukaryota; Metazoa; Chordata; Mammalia; Carnivora; Felidae. The record is from RefSeq and is a predicted model, not a curated record.
GCGGGUCAGAUCGUGUCCGGUUAGAGCGAGCCGUCGAGCCCCAGCGCAGUAGAGGUAGAGGGUCGGGGCCCGCCCUGCACCCUAGGCAGCGGGGUUUGCCGAUGGGCGUGCAUUGGAAAGGGGGCACAGUGGGCUGGGAGGGUUUGGAGCGCGGAGGUUGCCAAGAGCGGUCGCCCUUGAACUUUUGGCCUCCAAGCACACUAGCAUUUGCUUCUCUACGCCUCCUGAACGUCAGAAGCCAAAUGAGGGAGAAGCCAGGGUCUCGUGAAAUGCUCAGAACACAUGCGUAAAACUACAGCAGGGUUGGGCUGGAGUGAAAUCAGCAACGUACCAAAACCAUGAAACACAGAAACAACUGCUUCUUCCAGACGUUCGACAUACCACCCAGAAGGCAGUGUGGAGAAGAGGAAAGAGUGAAGAUUUUAAAGUCAGACAAGCCUGGGUCUGUCAUCCAAUUAUUAUAUGCCCGUGGGUCUUUUUCUAACCUACUUCACAGAGUUGUGGAGAUUUAAUGAGAUAAUAAAUGAGUAACUUCAGCUACUCCCAGAAGCUUUCCAAAAUGUUGAUGAUUUCUCCAUAUAUCUCUUUAGCAGGGAUCUCUCUGCUGGAUCUGAGCUCCUGGAUGGCUCAGCCUGGAUCACUCAGAAGCCUAUCAGAGGCAAUUUAGCCAACAGUAAGUUAAUUAUUAAUUAUUGCUGGCGCUAGCCACACUCACUCCCCCGUGGGCCCCCCCACACCAAGUUUGAUCCUUCUCCAUCAGGCGCCACCUCAGGGAGAGGCGUCACCUGCCACACUGCCCAAGCCAGAAAGCCACAAGUCUUCCUUGAUGUCCCCUCAUUCGGACGCUACACAUCAGCCUCUUCCCUGUCUCUGCUAUUUGUCCACACCCCUCUAAGCUCAAAACCUUCACGUGAGUUCGGGCCUUCCUCUCUCUCUUCCCAUCCAGUUCACUGCAGCUGUCUCCUCUGACUGGCUUCUCUUGUGCUUUCGCUCAGUGCAGCUCUGUCACUUUCCUGUUUACAGUUAAUGGCUUCUCCUGCUGAAGGAUAAAGCUGGAGUUCCUUGUCAUGAUCUGAUCUCCGCUCUUAACCGCUUCUCCCAACCUCCCCCACCUAUGCUAAAUUAGGUGCACUUCCAAGCAUCGCUGCUCUCUCCUUCGCUUCCAAAUCAUCAAGCACAAUGUUUCCUCUGCCUCGUACUCCACUCCCCCUGUUUUUCUUUGGAUUAGCUCUUAAUCUUAUGGACUGGACUUCGGUGGGAGCUCCUCUAAGUUUGUCCACCGAACCCCCCUCCUAAGUGAGGUACUUUGCUUCUAUGCUCCCUGAGCGCUUCAUGCCUCACUUCUUUUUAACAAAAUUCUCUCACUCUGUAAUGUAAUUACUGUUACUCUAAAAAAAAAAAAAAAUGCCCUGCCUGUUAAUUUACCAGCAAAAAUGGGUUUAUUUGGGAAUAGCAAAGAAUUGCAAUUGGAGAUAGGCAAAUCUGUAGAACCAAGGAGAGACAGGCUCUUUCGUAGAGUAAGGGGGAGGUGUUGGGAGGGGCUUUUACAUACAAAAAGCCUAUUGGCGUAAACCUGGAGUUCAAAGUAUAGUGGCUCUUCAUUGGCUGAGUUGCGGCAGUCUCUCAUUGGCUGGGCUGUCGAGGGGAGUGGGGUGGGAGCCUAUCUUGGGCUUGCUGGGGUAGUAAAGUAGUAACCACGUAAGUGCAAAGCGCAUCCUUUCCUGUUGGGUCUGCAGUUGCGGAGGGGUGGUGGAGCAUGAAAACUACCCCUGCCAGCCUUCUGACUCCAUUCUAAAUAAGACUUCCUUUUAUUAAUUUUCAUAUUAUCUAAUGUAAUAAUAUGUAAGACUAUGGACCCCAUGCUAGGUACUAGACAUUCUGCUAAGUUCUUGACAUGUAUUAGCUCCUGUGAUCUUCCUAAUAAUUCUAUGCGGUGGGUACUGUUACCGUUCCUACCGCACAGACGACGCACAGAAAGGCAAACAUUCCUCCCAGUGUUACACAGCCAGGAUUCGAACCCAAGAGGUCUGACUCCAGUCCAUAUAAUUAUAUCCGAUGCUUUUUUUUGCAUCCAGUCAUCUCCAAGGAUUUUGUCUAUGUUAUUCACUGAUGUACUCUCAGGGCCUAGAAUAAAUUCUGGCAUGUAAUAGCUGCUCAUAAUGUGUUUACAGACACACUGAAUGAAUAAAUGCUAAUUCAUUUGUGUCCUUCCCUUCUGAGGGGCCAAGGGCUGGGUUUUAUUCUGUUUAUUCCUAGCAGCUGGCCUGGUACCUAGCACAUAAUAAAAUUGUCAAGCUUGCCUCUCUGCAUAGGUUCAUUGCCACUCUGAGUUCCAAGAUUCUAUUUUGCUUCUGUGCUUUUUUGAGACCCUGUAUCCACCCCACCAGCCAUAACGCACUUUGCUGCAUGUCAGUUUUCAGUGUGGAUAAAAAAAAAAUCUGGUCAGCUGCUGCUUGACAGCUGGAAAAACAGAGCUGCACUGGAGCCAAAACAAUUUUGUGCCUCAGAUAAGCAGGGAGGAGAGCCUCCUUCCUCAUGUGGGUAUGUGGGCAGAGGGCUGAAUCAUCGAGUUCUUUGAGUUCCUUGGAAAAAGAUAACUCAAAGGAAUAUUACACAACAUGGAGAAAUGAGGAGACUAAGUAGAGGCAUGAAAAUGACUGGAGUGUUGAAAAAUACAAACUAUAAGGCUAAAAAUAGUUGCGAGAGGAAAAAGCUGUGGGUCAAUAUUCCAGUGCCCCGAAGGUCUGUGCAUGAAUGGGUUCCAGUCUGAAGGAUGUUGAACAGAUGUUCACAGGAGGAAAGGAAUGUAGAUGCAAUAAUCUUAAGCUGAGACAGUGGGGAGAAGACAACUUAUCUAGGGGAAAGACAGCCUGGGCUGCAGCAUACUGUUAUAAAACAGUACCCUCGAGUGGUGCGUAACCCAGCCAGAGGGGAAGGGGGUGCACAAGUAAUGGGGAUGUUUCCCGGUAGGAGGUGGUACAUUUGGGCAAUUUUCUUUUUCCAUAGAUUUAAAGUCCCAGUAGAUUUUUAAACUGCAUUGCAGAAUCUCUCUAGAGACUUUGAAAACUUUGGGUAGGGUGGGGGUAGGGGGCGGGUUAGAAUUUUGCGGUCAUGCAAACAAACAUUCUUUGUUCCACUCUCUGGCUUAUUUGGUAGCUAACACUGGACAGACGCACAUUGGUACAGUAGACAGAGUGUGGGCGAGUUGCCUACUCAGGCUCUGCCUCAUUGUCUUUUUGGAGCAGUGCUUUACAAGAGUAUUUAAAGAUUUAAGAGGUGUGGCGAGUUAAGUAAAACACUAUUCUAAAGAGCAGGGGGUAGUCUCCAUAAAUGGGAGUGGAGUUGUGAUUGGUAUUCUUUUUUUACCAGCAUUAUUUAAUUUUCCUGCCAGGACUCCUGAGGUAUUGCCCCACCGUGACAAAGGUUAGGUAGGACCCAAGUCCGAGGGGCUUAUGAUUAGAAAGAAGAGACUGAAUUGGUUUCCCAGAUGGAGUCACUGGCUUCCAAGGAUCAUGAGGAGUAUCUUGUUUGGCAGUUUGUCCUGCAGGCCGUUGCUUGGGCUCCUGGGAAGGGAGGUGCUACAGAAAUGUAUUGUCAUGACUAAUGCCCUGAGGGAGGAGGACAACUGUGUACUAAGGUGUAUACUCUAACUCUUUCCUGUAGGUUCAUCUUUUCCACCCACGAAUGUACACACUUCAUGGGCAGGUAUCAGAUCUUCUAAUUCCUAUUUAUAACCUUUCUUUUUCUUUCUCAGGGUUUUCAGGAACUAAGAAUGCACAUAUGGAAGAGCGAAUGCAAAAAUUUAAGAUACUUAUAUUGCGAAACACAAGUGGAAUUUUAUAUAAAUAUAAUUCAUAAAAGGCAUUCACUUAAUGACUGGGUGGCCAUUGCUAAUAAUGCAAAGGGAUACGAAAACAGUACACAGAAUACAGGAAUAAUUCACAACUCAAAAUUAUGCAAAAGAGCUGAUGCUCUUCUUCAGUUUGUGUGCAUCUAAUAGACGGUCUUAAUAAAGAAGCUAAUGAGUAUCUGAUAACACUGUGCAGUGUAAACAUAAGGAGGAACCUAACAGGCUCACUAAUCAUGGAACAAAUCUUUUUCUGUGGACAACCAGAAAAUGCAAAAUCAUAGAACGACUGCAUCUGGACUAGAGGAAAAGAAUUCCUGCUCUCCUAUUAAUUCCAAGAAGGUAGAUUAAGACUUCUAAUCCCAUUAAAGAUAAAUGCCUUAAAAUGCUUGAGUACUUUAUUAUCAGAGAUUUUCCCUCUGGAUGCUGCAAUUUAAGAUUUUUAAAGGAAGAGUUAUACUUUAGAGCUCAGGAGAACUGUCUUUUUAAAAAAUUUAUUUUUAAUUCAAGUCUAAUUAAUAUACAAUGUUAUGUCAGUUUCAGGUGUACCAUAUAAUGAUUCCACAAUUCUAUACAUUUCCAGUGCUCAUCAAGUUAAAUGUAGUCUUAAUCCCCUUUAUUCAUCUCCCCCCCUCCCUGCAACCACCAGUAUAUGCUCUGUAUUUAAGAGU